GCCUUCGUAGUGUAGUGGUUAACGAGCUCGACUCGCAUUCGAGAGGUCCGUGGUUCGAGUCCCGGCGAAGGCG
Molecule: non-coding RNA, 73 nt
Organism: Stegodyphus dumicola
Lineage: Eukaryota; Metazoa; Arthropoda; Arachnida; Araneae; Eresidae
Source: the annotation of a RefSeq genome assembly